GGCAGUCGUGGCCUAAUGCUCAGAGAGUUGGACUUGUAACCCGAAGGUCGUGGGUUCAAGUCUCAGGUCCGUCA
Molecule: non-coding RNA, 74 nt
Organism: Pangasius djambal
Lineage: Eukaryota; Metazoa; Chordata; Actinopteri; Siluriformes; Pangasiidae
Source: the annotation of a GenBank genome assembly